ACGAACGCUGGCGGCGUGCUUAACACCUGCAAGUCGUACGGUAAGGCCCUUUCGGGGGUACACGAGUGGCGAACGGGUGAGUAACACGUGAGUAACCUGCCCACAACUUUGGGAUAACGCUAGGAAACUGGUGCUAAUACUGGAUAUGUGCUCCUGCUGCAUGGUGGGGGUUGGAAAGCUCCGGCGGUUGUGGAUGGACUCGCGGCCUAUCAGCUUGUUGGUGGGGUAGUGGCCUACCAAGGCGGCGACGGGUAGCCGGCCUGAGAGGGUGACCGGCCACAUUGGGACUGAGAUACGGCCCAGACUCCUACGGGAGGCAGCAGUGGGGAAUAUUGCACAAUGGGCGCAAGCCUGAUGCAGCAACGCCGCGGGCGGGAUGACGGCCUUCGGGUUGUAAACCGCUUUCAGCAGGGACGAAGCUUUUUGUGACGGUACCUGCAGAAGAAGCACCGGCUAACUACGUG
Molecule: ribosomal RNA, 464 nt
Filed under: uncultured bacterium
Lineage: Bacteria
Description: partial 16S ribosomal RNA
Rfam family: Bacterial small subunit ribosomal RNA
Source: RNAcentral